This 253-nucleotide ribosomal RNA is filed under the name uncultured bacterium. RNAcentral describes it as "partial 16S ribosomal RNA". It matches the Rfam family "Bacterial small subunit ribosomal RNA", at positions 524 to 776 of the family's 1533-position model. The record is from RNAcentral.
UACGGAGGAUCCAAGCGUUAUCCGGAAUCAUUGGGUUUAAAGGGUCCGUAGGCGGUUUAGUAAGUCAGUGGUGAAAGCCCAUCGCUCAACGGUGGAACGGCCAUUGAUACUGCUAGACUUGAAUUAUUUGGGAGUAACUAGAAUAUGUAGUGUAGCGGUGAAAUGCUUAGAGAUUACAUGGAAUACCAAUUGCGAAGGCAGGUUACUACAAAUGGAUUGACGCUGAUGGACGAAAGCGUGGGUAGCGAACAGG